UUUGGCUCUGCGGUCGAUGAAGAACGGAGCUAACUCUGUGAUGCCGUGUGAACUGCAGGACACAUGAACAUCGACACUUUGAAUGCAUAUUGCGRAAUUGAGCUUGUCUCAAUUCCAUACCCGGCUCAGGGUCGGUUAAUCAGACAUCAGGCAGCUUGCUGUCUGCACAGAGCCUUCGCUUUGCCCUGGCACAGCGUGGCUUCAUGGUUUGUCGUGCGGAUUUCACCGACGUCRACUCUUGGGAGAAAUCCUGGGUGGUUGUCGGUGGCCGUGUGUGCAUGGUGCAGRGACUGUAGUUCUYGUCUCGUAAGCACCUACCUUUAAUUUUUCGACCUGAGAUUGGGUAAGGCUACCCGCCGAAUUUAAGCAUAUUAAUAAGCGGAGGAAAAGAAAACAACUGUGAUUCCCUUAGUAAUGGCGAAUGAA
RNAcentral lists this ribosomal RNA (426 nucleotides) under Pareucalanus sewelli. Its description in RNAcentral is "eukaryotic LSU rRNA". The record is from RNAcentral. Lineage: Eukaryota; Metazoa; Arthropoda; Copepoda; Calanoida; Eucalanidae.